Molecule: ribosomal RNA, 253 nt
Filed under: uncultured bacterium
Lineage: Bacteria
Description: partial 16S ribosomal RNA
Rfam family: Bacterial small subunit ribosomal RNA
Source: RNAcentral
UACGGGGGGGGCAAGCGUUGUUCGGAAUUACUGGGCGUAAAGGGCUCGUAGGUGGCCAACUAAGUCAGACGUGAAAUCCCUCGGCUUAACCGGGGAACUGCGUCUGAUACUGGAUGGCUUGAGUUUGGGAGAGGGAUGCGGAAUUCCGAGUGUAGAGGUGAAAUUCGUAGAUAUUCGGAAGAACACCAGUGGCGAAGGCGACUCGCUGGACAAGUAUUGACGCUGAGGUGCGAAAGCGUGGGGAGCAAACAGG